CACCAAAGUGCAGAAGAAGGAUG
RNAcentral lists this non-coding RNA (23 nucleotides) under Cricetulus griseus (Chinese hamster). The record is from RNAcentral. Lineage: Eukaryota; Metazoa; Chordata; Mammalia; Rodentia; Cricetidae.